This 366-nucleotide long non-coding RNA is filed under the name Pan troglodytes (chimpanzee). RNAcentral's name for it is "long non-coding RNA NONPTRT018233". The record is from RNAcentral. Lineage: Eukaryota; Metazoa; Chordata; Mammalia; Primates; Hominidae.
AUACUUAACUGUCCAACCUCUAUAUCGGCCCUACAAACAGCAAAAUCAAGUUAAAUUUCUGGGUCGUCGAUCCAAGCAAGCUCAAAUGAAAGUUGAAAAAAUGAGAAAAGUUUAUUUGGCUAAAGAAAAAAAUACUUCUGAGGUGACUGAACCAAAAACGGGCCCAUCAGGUACAAAGGAUAACUAUCAUCUCCACUCCAUCUUUUGACAUUGUGAAAACUAAGGAAUCUAUGUCAGAGUGUCAGCUGGGAAAAGAAAAAAGGACUCAUUUUCCUGGUAUCAAAACUUGGCAGCUGGUGAUUCUCCAUCAUGAUAAUGAACAGUUAAUUGACAGAAAACCAAAGUUGUUUAACAAUCUGCUUGUCU